This 767-nucleotide long non-coding RNA is filed under the name Salvia miltiorrhiza (redroot sage). RNAcentral's name for it is "long non-coding RNA (SMIL_LNC012717)". Lineage: Eukaryota; Viridiplantae; Streptophyta; Magnoliopsida; Lamiales; Lamiaceae. The record is from RNAcentral.
UCGGCUUCUGCCGCCGCCUCGACGGUGUCGCCGUCGCCGGAGACGCCGCCUUUCCUUCUCUCCCUCAACAUUUCUUUCUCCUGAUCCUCCCUCAUCUCUCGCCCUCUCUCAUCCCUCAGUCUCGUUCUCUGUCACGCCAGCACAGUCGACGCCGCACCAUCGUUUCUUUGAGUUCUCUCUCUCCUUCAACAUAUAUUCCUCUUCCGGUCAACAGCAACGGCCUCCAUCGCCGCCCCCUCGUCGACAGCAGCAUAACGCAGCCGCCGCCUCCCCUUUUCCAGAUCUGGCGCCGGCCGCCCCUACUCUUUCUCCGUCGGUCACCGUGUCGCAGGCAGCGCUCGGCGUCGUCGUCCAGCCGUCUCCCUCUCCGCUUUUCCGGCUGUCCAACAGCCAUUCACCCCAAAAUUCCUCUCCUUUGCUUUUUAUCUUUUUCUGGUUUUCAGCAAAAUAAGAUGACCCUACGAACAAAUGGCAUUUCCUCUCUCUCCUCUCUCUCCUUUCUCUCUCUCUCUCUCACACACACACACAAAGACACAAAUGAAAAUGACGAUGAUUUCUGCCAUUACAAAAUUAUUUUGGGGACAUAAUGGGUAAGGACAUUGUUAUCUAAUUUUUAACAUUGGAUACCAAUCGAAAAACUGCUUAAACCCAAUAAUUAAUCUUAUGAGUCAAACACACAAUCAAUAGUAAUUAAUCUUUGUUUAACUAGCUUAUCUAACCGGAUUUAAUCAAUACUGUUAUAUCUGUCCCAAGAUACCAAACACGCC